UAGGGAAUUUUGGACAAUGGGCGAAAGCCUGAUCCAGCAAUGCCGCGUGAGUGAUGAAGGCCUUCGGGUUGUAAAGCUCUUUUGGUAGGAACGAAACGGUCCGGGCUAAUACCCUGGACUAAUGACGGUACCUGCAGAAUAAGCACCGGCUAACUACGUGCCGGCAGCCGCGGUAAUACGUAGGGUGCAAGCGUUAAUCGGAAUUACUGGGCGUAAAGCGUGCGCAGGCGGUUUUGUAAGACCGAUGUGAAAUCCCCGGGCUUAACCUGGGAACUGCAUUGGUGACUGCAAGGCUAGAGUGUGUCAGAGGGAGGUGGAAUUCCGCGUGUAGCAGUGAAAUGCGUAGAGAUGCGGAGGAACACCGAUGGCGAAGGCAGCCUCCUGGGAUAACACUGACGCUCAUGCACGAAAGCGUGGGGAGCAAACAGGAUUAGAUACCCUGGUAGUCCACGCCCUAAACGAUGUCUACUAGUUGUC
Molecule: ribosomal RNA, 477 nt
Filed under: uncultured Pseudomonadota bacterium
Lineage: Bacteria; Pseudomonadati; Pseudomonadota
Description: bacterial SSU rRNA
Rfam family: Bacterial small subunit ribosomal RNA
Source: RNAcentral